This 76-nucleotide transfer RNA is filed under the name Rubritalea squalenifaciens. RNAcentral describes it as "tRNA-Ala". It matches the Rfam family "tRNA". Rfam says of the family: Transfer RNA (tRNA) molecules are approximately 80 nucleotides in length. Their secondary structure includes four short double-helical elements and three loops (D, anti-codon, and T loops). Lineage: Bacteria; Pseudomonadati; Verrucomicrobiota; Verrucomicrobiia; Verrucomicrobiales; Rubritaleaceae. RNAcentral also lists the same sequence under 2 other names. The record is from RNAcentral.
GGGGCAUUAGCUCAAUUGGUAGAGCGUCUGCAUGGCAUGCAGAAGGUCAGCGGUUCGAUUCCGCUAUGCUCCACCA